GGGUUGUGAGGUUAAGCGACUAAGCGUACACGGUGGAUGCCCUGGCAGUCAGAGGCGAUGAAGGACGUGCUAAUCUGCGAUAAGCGUCGGUAAGGUGAUAUGAACCGUUAUAACCGGCGAUUUCCGAAUGGGGAAACCCAGUGUGUUUCGACACACUAUCAUUAACUGAAUCCAUAGGUUAAUGAGGCGAACCGGGGGAACUGAAACAUCUAAGUACCCCGAGGAAAAGAAAUCAACCGAGAUUCCCCCAGUAGCGGCGAGCGAACGGGGAGGAGCCCAGAGCCUGAAUCAGUGUGUGUGUUAGUGGAAGCGUCUGGAAAGGCGCGCGAUACAGGGUGACAGCCCCGUACACAAAAAUGCACAUGCUGUGAGCUCGAUGAGUAGGGCGGGACACGUGGUAUCCUGUCUGAAUAUGGGGGGACCAUCCUCCAAGGCUAAAUACUCCUGACUGACCGAUAGUGAACCAGUACCGUGAGGGAAAGGCGAAAAGAACCCCGGCGAGGGGAGUGAAAAAGAACCUGAAACCGUGUACGUACAAGCAGUGGGAGCACGCUUAGGCGUGUGACUGCGUACCUUUUGUAUAAUGGGUCAGCGACUUAUAUUCUGUAGCAAGGUUAACCGAAUAGGGGAGCCGAAGGGAAACCGAGUCUUAACUGGGCGU
This 661-nucleotide ribosomal RNA is filed under the name Escherichia coli. Its description in RNAcentral is "bacterial LSU rRNA". It matches the Rfam family "Bacterial large subunit ribosomal RNA", at positions 1 to 695 of the family's 2925-position model. The record is from RNAcentral. Lineage: Bacteria; Pseudomonadati; Pseudomonadota; Gammaproteobacteria; Enterobacterales; Enterobacteriaceae.